AUUGAACGCUGGCGGAAUGCUUUACACAUGCAAGUCGAACGGUAGAGGGGGCAACCCCCUUGAGAGUGGCGAACGGGUGAGUAAUAUAUCGGAACGUGCCCAGUCGUGGGGGAUAACGUAGCGAAAGUUACGCUAAUACCGCAUACGAUCUAAGGAUGAAAGCGGGGGACUCGCAAGAGCCUCGCGCGAUUGGGAGCGGCCGAUAUCAGAUUAGGUAGUUGGUGGGGUAAAGGCUCACCAAGCCAACGAUCUGUAGCUGGUCUGACGAGGACGACCAGCCACA
This 283-nucleotide ribosomal RNA is filed under the name uncultured bacterium. RNAcentral describes it as "partial 16S ribosomal RNA". It matches the Rfam family "Bacterial small subunit ribosomal RNA", at positions 30 to 312 of the family's 1533-position model. The record is from RNAcentral.